GCAAGGCGUUGUGGCGGCCGCCUGUGGUCCCAGCUACUUGGGAAGCUGAGGCAGGAGACUCACUUGAGCCCAGGAGUUGGAGGUUGCUGUGAGCUGUCAUAUUAUGGCACUCCUCUACCUAGGGGGACAGCUUGAGGCUCUGUCUCAAUAAAAAAAGGAACCUCCAUACUGUUUUCCACAAUGACUUAUUUACACUCUCUUUUUUUUUUUUGGAGACAGAGCCUCAAGCUGUCCCCCUGGGUAGAGUGCUGUGGCAUCACAGCUCACAGCAACCUCCAACUCCUGGGCUCAAGCGAGUCUCCUGCCUCAA
This 310-nucleotide signal recognition particle RNA is filed under the name Otolemur garnettii (small-eared galago). Its description in RNAcentral is "Metazoan signal recognition particle RNA". It matches the Rfam family "Metazoan signal recognition particle RNA". Rfam says of the family: The signal recognition particle (SRP) is a universally conserved ribonucleoprotein. The record is from Rfam by way of RNAcentral. Lineage: Eukaryota; Metazoa; Chordata; Mammalia; Primates; Galagidae.